AUUUAGUUAUGCUCACGGGGACUAUGAGUGUCUACUUUAAUAUUAGCAAUGUAUCAAAUUAUUUUAGAUUCAAAAUAUAAUUUAGGAAGGCAAAUAUUUUAGAGGAUGUGGUCCAAUGUCUUGUGUUCCAUGGAAAUUUGUAUUUUGAGUUUUGUAACAAAGUUAGAUAGGAUGGAUAGAAUAAAAAUUGGAGUUGCUACUACUAAUUGAGAAAAUUAUAGAAUCUGAUUUUGAUUCUUUGGACACACCUGAAGUAGUGGCAAGGACAGUAUAUCUAAAGAUCAUUUGACCUAGCUUUUUAUGGGAUUGAAAGCAAUUUUGAAAUUAAAGCUAAAAAUAAAAGGUUGAACAAUAAAGCUAAAUUUGUUUGUUUGGUAAUGAUUGUUUUCUAGCUCAAAAGGUUUUAGUAGAAUGGCAGAAUUUGAGUUAAAUGACUAAAAAUUGGAUAAAAUUGUAAAAGGUCUACAAUUGAGUUACAAGCUCAUUUUAAACUAUUUUUUAAGACAAAGUUUCUUAUACAUAGUAGAAAGUAAAUUCCUUUUUUGAUUUAUUUAUUUUUUAUGGAGAAGAGAAGUAAAAAAUAAAGUUAGGAAAUUCACACCCAUAGAAUAAUAGUCUAAUAAUUAUUAGUAGAGAAAUUAGUAGUCUAAUAAUCAGAGGUACAAAAAGAUGAAGAAAAACCGUAAGUCAAAAAAUCAAAAGGAAAUUUAGAGAUAAUUAGUUGAUCUUAUUUAUCUAUUACAUGACAUUUUUUUGU
RNAcentral lists this long non-coding RNA (757 nucleotides) under Medicago truncatula (barrel medic). RNAcentral describes it as "long non-coding RNA (MTRU_LNC000569)". Lineage: Eukaryota; Viridiplantae; Streptophyta; Magnoliopsida; Fabales; Fabaceae. The record is from RNAcentral.